Molecule: ribosomal RNA, 404 nt
Filed under: uncultured bacterium
Lineage: Bacteria
Description: bacterial SSU rRNA
Rfam family: Bacterial small subunit ribosomal RNA
Source: RNAcentral
UGAGGGAUAUUGGGCAAUGGGCGAAAGCCUGACCCAGCAACGCCGCGUGAAGGAAGAAGGUCUUCGGAUUGUAAACUUUUGUCUUAUGGGACGAUAAUGACGGUACCAUAGGAGGAAGCCACGACUAACUACGUGCCAGCAGUCGCGGUAAUACGUAGGUGGCAAGCGUUAUCCGGAAUUAUUGGGUGUAAAGGGUGCGUAGGCGGGGUGUCAAGUCAGAUGUGAAAUCUCAAUGCUUAACGUUGAGACUGCAUUUGAAACUGGCGCUCUUGAGUGAAGUAGAGGUAAGCGGAAUUCCCAGUGUAGCGGUGAAAUGCGUAGAUAUUGGGAGGAACACCAGUGGCGAAGGCGGCUUACUGGGCUUUUACUGACGCUGAGGCACGAAAGUGUGGGGAGCAAACAGG